Molecule: long non-coding RNA, 475 nt
Filed under: Selaginella moellendorffii
Lineage: Eukaryota; Viridiplantae; Streptophyta; Lycopodiopsida; Selaginellales; Selaginellaceae
Description: long non-coding RNA (SMOE_LNC000427)
Source: RNAcentral
GCAAACUUUAUCUUCUACUCACUGUCUUGGGACGCUUCCUCGGGUGCUGCAGUGCCAGUGUCGUCCUUUCUCAAGAGAUCAUCUGCCUGGAGUGUGGCCUUUGAGAGCCUCGGCGAGCUCGCGAUCAAGCUCCUCCGCAAAGUUCAUGGUCAUCCUACUCGGGAAUUCACAGGAGAAAACGCAAAGGUAUCAGGAAAGAGGAACGAUUUCACUGCUAGGUACCUCGUCCGCCACGUCGAGCGCCUCACUCGUUGUGUUGGUCGUCUCCAGUUGCUUCAUGGCCUGUGUAAAUGCUCUCCUCUACCUGGGGAAUGAAAGAAACAAAGAACACGAAGGACGGACUGAAAUGGAAGUUGAAUCUUCAUACCUGUAAGUGGGUUCUCGAUUUGACACAAGCGCUCGGCCUCGUCUUCCAGAAGCCUGGUAACAAUGGGAAGAAAAAAGAAGAGAUAUUUAACUAACUUGAGCAUAUCAA